AGGAAGUGUGAACUUCUCAAGGCAGUUACCUGCUUACCAAAGUCUGCUCAUUGAACUGUUCUGUAUCAUAUUCCCGUGAACAAGUACCCCAAGGAGAAGAGUGAGGGCCGAGAUGUUGCUGAAUGGUCAGUGAACUUCAGCAGAAGUAAGGAGCUCUGUUUCUUAGAGACAAAGUGCCAAAGAAGCCUGCUUGCAAUAUGACAGGUACUCAUCUGUACUGAGCGGAUCUGCCCGUGCCCCUUCGAGGAUCCCUUCCGUCCCUCCCCACCAGCGUUGUUGGGGGAUUAAAGCGGCGGCGGCCCCAUACACAAACGCAGCUGGUUCCGUUUGGUCAGCCUGAGCCUUGCUGUGAAACCACGACAAGAAUUCCAGUAAGUUGGCAACACUGAAACACAAAGAAAACAACAAUAGGAAAAGUCCUUCCGUGCAGAAAGGAAUGUUUCAAGCGCUGUUCUCC
Molecule: long non-coding RNA, 457 nt
Filed under: Gallus gallus (chicken)
Lineage: Eukaryota; Metazoa; Chordata; Aves; Galliformes; Phasianidae
Description: lncRNA (ENSGALG00010026395.1)
Source: RNAcentral